Molecule: ribosomal RNA, 1440 nt
Filed under: uncultured bacterium
Lineage: Bacteria
Description: 16S ribosomal RNA
Rfam family: Bacterial small subunit ribosomal RNA
Source: RNAcentral
AGUUUACUUUUUAUUGAGUCUAGCGGCGGACGGGUGAGUAACGCGUGGAUAAUCUGCCUGUAAGACAGGGAUAACGCCGGGAAACCGGUGCUAAUACCCGAUAACCUCUUUGAAUCGCAUGAUUUAAAGAGAAAAGGUGGCCUCUUUACCACUUACAGAUGGACCCGCGGCUGAUUAGCUAGUUGGUGAGGUAAUGGCUCACCAAGGCGACGAUCAGUAGCCGGCCUGAGAGGGUGACCGGCCACACUGGAACUGAGAUACGGUCCAGACUCCUACGGGAGGCAGCAGUGGGGAAUCUUCCGCAAUGGGCGAAAGCCUGACGGAGCAACGCCGCGUGAGCGAAGAAGGUCUUCGGAUUGUAAAGCUCUGUGAUAUUGGACGAACAAUUUCCCGUAAAUAAUGGGAAGGAAUGACGGUACAAUAAGAGGAAGCCACGGCUAACUACGUGCCAGCAGCCGCCGGUAAUACGUAGGUGGCAAACGUUGUCCGGAAUUACUGGGCGUAAAGGGCGAGUAGGUGGUUUAUUAAGUCAGAAGUGAAAACUCCGGGCUCAACCCUGGAAGUGCAUUUGAAACUGGAAGACUUGAGUGCAGGAGAGGAAAGUGGAAUUCCUAGUGUAGCGGUGAAAUGCGUAGAUAUUAGGAGGAACACCAGUGGCGAAGGCGGCUUUCUGGACUGUAACUGACACUGAGGCACGAAAGCGUGGGGAGCAAACAGGAUUAGAUACCCUGGUAGUCCACGCUGUAAACGAUGGAUACUAGGUGUGGGAGGUAUCGACCCCUUCCGUGCCGCAGUUAACGCAAUAAGUAUCCCGCCUGGGGAGUACGGCCGCAAGGUUGAAACUCAAAGGAAUUGACGGGGGCCCGCACAAGCAGCGGAGCAUGUGGUUUAAUUCGAAGCAACGCGAAGAACCUUACCAAGACUUGACAUGUACGGAAGGUCACGAGAGAGUGCCUCGCAAGAGGAGCCCGGUGACAGGUGGUGCAUGGUUGUCGUCAGCUCGUGUCGUGAGAUGUUGGGUUAAGUCCCGCAACGAGCGCAACCCUUAUCAUUAGUUGCUAACAGUAAGAUGAGCACUCUAAUGAGACUGCCGGGGAUAACUCGGAGGAAGGUGGGGAUGACGUCAAAUCAUCAUGCCCCUUAUGUUCUGGGCUACACACGUGCUACAAUGGGUAUAACAACGGGAAGCAAGCUAGUGAUAGCAAGCAAAUCCCUAAAAAGUACUCUCAGUUCGGAUUGUAGGCUGCAACUCGCCUACAUGAAGUUGGAGUUGCUAGUAAUCGCGAAUCAGAAUGUCGCGGUGAAUACGUUCCCGGGCCUUGUACACACCGCCCGUCACACCAUGGGAGUUGGAAGCACCCGAAGCCGGUGACUUAACCGUAAGGAGAGAGCCGUCGAAGGUGAAGCCAAUGACUGGGGUGAAGUCGUAACAAGGUAACC